GCCGCACAACAUUAUCUCCAUGCCCUUCUAUCCAUUGAUUUUGAUUUGAAUGGCUAUGAUUAAAAGAGAUUAGAUCUCUUGGGCAUUAAGAAGAGUUUUGAUAUGAAAAUAAUUGGUUUUGGUGUAAUAAAAAUUUGGAGGUUGUGAGGUCUUGCGUGAGUGAGAAGUAGCGACUUCUUUAGGACACAAAAACCUCUCAACGCCUCCUCCUUCUUUCUUCCUUACAUCCCAAUGCCUAGAUCUG
This 244-nucleotide long non-coding RNA is filed under the name Elaeis guineensis (African oil palm). Its description in RNAcentral is "long non-coding RNA (EGUI_LNC076321)". The record is from RNAcentral. Lineage: Eukaryota; Viridiplantae; Streptophyta; Magnoliopsida; Arecales; Arecaceae.